UUUGAUCAGACUCAGCUGCUAAAUGCUAAUGAAGAAGAAGGAGAAAGAAGAAAUAUGGAAGAAGAAGGAGACCAGAGAAAACAACUAAGAGUGGAAAUUGUGUGUUCAAUUCAUUGACCAGAGAAAAGAAAGGGGUUGGUUGGUUGGCUGGCUAGUUGAGGAAAAGGACUUAUGAGGUUGGUGAUGUUAUUGUAAUAAUGAUAUGUAGACCAAUAGUAAUACAAGUACUAGUACUGGUAAUCUCUGCAUCGUCAUUAUUUGAAGGGUUUGUUAAUUCAAGGGUUUGAUUGAUCGCUGUUGUAUUCAUUUGGAAUGCAGUUUAUAAAUGCAAAAUGGGUUGAGAGACAUAAACAAACAAAGCACAGAAGUAAAGAAAGAGAGGGAAAGUAAGAAGAGACACCAACUCAGCCAGUGUCCCAUCUUUGUUCUGGUAAUUAACUUAUUCCCUAAUCUUUUGUCAUUAGUUGGCCCUUUUAUUAGAUCUACAAAUCAUUCAUUAUACUCUUUUCUUUCUUUCUUUCUUUCUUUAACUCUUCUGGUUGUUAACAAAAUACAAACUUUCUAAUACCGUUUCUUGUUUCUACUUUCUGAGCUUUAAUAUGUAUUGGAGGUAUGGUGUCAAUAAAUUUGGUUUACUCUCCGUCUACAUUUCACCAAAUAUUUAUAUUUUGUGUGUGGAGCUCGGGCUACCAAGUGUGGAUGACCCAAGAAAAUAUAUAAUGGUAUCAAACAAAAUAUGAACCCAAAUCUGCAGAGUC
RNAcentral lists this long non-coding RNA (758 nucleotides) under Linum usitatissimum (flax). RNAcentral's name for it is "long non-coding RNA (LUSI_LNC005745)". The record is from RNAcentral. Lineage: Eukaryota; Viridiplantae; Streptophyta; Magnoliopsida; Malpighiales; Linaceae.